Molecule: long non-coding RNA, 305 nt
Filed under: Nicotiana benthamiana
Lineage: Eukaryota; Viridiplantae; Streptophyta; Magnoliopsida; Solanales; Solanaceae
Description: long non-coding RNA (NBEN_LNC014800)
Source: RNAcentral
CGUCGGAAUCAAACAUGAAAGGUGUCGGAAGUUCACCCUAAACACCACGAUUGAAGAAGCAACAACAAACCAGAAAAAACGGAAAGCAUCUCUGAUUCCACCAACAAAUCGAAAAAAUCCAGAAUCACCACCAACAAAUCGAAAAAUCCAGAAUCACCACCGAUAAUUCAAUAAAGCUGAACUGGAAGAACCGAGAAGAGAAAGGAUAUAUCCGAAAAGGCGAACCAUACUCUGAUACCAUGUAAACAUGGAGAAUCGGAGAUGGAGAAGAGAGAAAAAAUUCAUCUCUUUCUGAAUUGAUAAAA